GCAGGGUGUGGUGAUGCCUACCUAUAAUCCCUGCUACUGAGGGAGGCUGAAGCCGGUGAGUCACUUGAAUUCCAGAGCUCUAAGAUGAAUAAGGGCUAGACCUGAUGGAGAAUCUGUAUAAGUCAGGCAGAAAUACGGUGAACCCCUGGGAGUUGAGGACUGCCAGGCUGCCUAAGAAGAGAUGAACUGAUCCAGGUUGAAAACAGAGCACAUGAAAGCUUCCAUGCCUAUAGGUAUUGGGACUGGGUUUGUGAGUAGCUAAUGUACUUCUGGCCUGGGUGAGAUAGGAAGAGUCAGUCUCAA
This 303-nucleotide signal recognition particle RNA is filed under the name Vombatus ursinus (common wombat). RNAcentral describes it as "Metazoan signal recognition particle RNA (ENSVURG00010016962.1)". It matches the Rfam family "Metazoan signal recognition particle RNA". From Rfam's summary of the family: The signal recognition particle (SRP) is a universally conserved ribonucleoprotein. It is involved in the co-translational targeting of proteins to membranes. The eukaryotic SRP consists of a 300-nucleotide 7S RNA and six proteins: SRPs 72, 68, 54, 19, 14, and 9. The record is from Rfam by way of RNAcentral. Lineage: Eukaryota; Metazoa; Chordata; Mammalia; Diprotodontia; Vombatidae.